GAAAUAAUAAAAAUAUUAAAUUUCUAAUUUAAUUAAAAAUAUUAAAUUAUUUUUAUUUCU
RNAcentral lists this transfer RNA (60 nucleotides) under Tetrastichus howardi. RNAcentral's name for it is "tRNA-Ser". Lineage: Eukaryota; Metazoa; Arthropoda; Insecta; Hymenoptera; Eulophidae. The record is from RNAcentral.